Molecule: ribosomal RNA, 254 nt
Filed under: uncultured bacterium
Lineage: Bacteria
Description: partial 16S ribosomal RNA
Rfam family: Bacterial small subunit ribosomal RNA
Source: RNAcentral
UACGAAGGGGGCUAGCGUUGCUCGGAAUCACUGGGCGUAAAGCGCACGUAGGCGGGCUCUUAAGUCGGUGGUGAAAUCCUGGAGCUCAACUCCAGAACUGCCUCCGAUACUGGGAGUCUUCGAGUCCGGGAGAGGUGAGUGGAACUGCGAGUGUAGAGGUGAAAUGCGUAGAGAUUCGCAAGAACACCAGUGGCGAAGGCGGCUCACUGGCCCGGUACUGACGCUGAGGCACGAAGGCCAGGGGAGCAAACGGG